UCCUACGGGAGGCAGCAGUGGGGAACUUGGACAAGGGGGCAAAGCGGAAUCCAGCCAUGCGGCGCGAGCAAGAAGGCGCCAGCCGGUAAAGCGAUAAGGCCGGAAGGGUGUAAAGCUGUUUAACACGGAAGAUAAGACGGUACCCGGAGAAGAAGCACCGUUAUUUUUU
This 169-nucleotide ribosomal RNA is filed under the name uncultured bacterium. RNAcentral describes it as "partial 16S ribosomal RNA". The record is from RNAcentral.